This 433-nucleotide ribosomal RNA is filed under the name uncultured bacterium. Its description in RNAcentral is "bacterial SSU rRNA". It matches the Rfam family "Bacterial small subunit ribosomal RNA", at positions 29 to 507 of the family's 1533-position model. The record is from RNAcentral.
AACGAACGCUGGCGGCAUGCCUAACACAUGCAAGUCGAACGAAGCCUUCGGGCUUAGUGGCGCACGGGUGCGUAACACGUGGGAAUCUGCCCUUCGGUUCGGAAUAACAGUUAGAAAUGACUGCUAAUACCGGAUGAUGACGAAAGUCCAAAGAUUUAUCGCCGAAGGAUGAGCCCGCGUAGGAUUAGGUAGUUGGUAGGGUAAUGGCCUACCAAGCCGACGAUCCUUAGCUGGUCUGAGAGGAUGAUCAGCCACACUGGGACUGAGACACGGCCCAGACUCCUACGGGAGGCAGCAGUGGGGAAUAUUGGACAAUGGACGAAAGCCUGGUCCAGCAAUGCCGCGUGAGUGAUGAAGGCCUUAGGGUUGUAAAGCUCUUUUACCAGGGAUGAUAAUGACAGUACCUGGAGAAUAAGCUCCGGCUAACUCCGUG